CUGGCCUAAGGAGCUGUGGGUUUGAUGCCUCUUCCCUGCCUCCUGCAUUCAAAAGGAGUAUAUGUUACCUAGGUAUCACCUGGCCACUUGUGACCCUAACAGAAGCAAUGAAUAAAUCUGGAAGCAAAAACAAACAGAGAAACCAGAGAAGAAGGACCUUGGAUAUGAAGAGUCAGCCUGCCUUCCCAGCACGCAAGUUAUUAGGUCCUGUGUGGUGCUUUCAGAUCCUUUGUGGUGUAAUCAGGCAGGGUGAAAUCCAAAUCCUCAUAUGGCACUAUUUGAAGUGAGAAUGGAAGGCAGAUGGGUGGAUUUGAAGAUUUGAAAGGGUGGAUGGUCUGAUACAGGUGCUGCCCUGGUCUUUGCUCUUGCAGUGGUGUGCCCUUUCCUAUGCAAAGCCAUCAUUGUCUGCUGACUUGCAGAGCAGUGGGUCACAUUGUGCAGCGAUUGGUAUUUGUUUAAGAGAAAUCUCCCCGACUGACCCAAUUCCUGUAAUGCAUAAAAAAAAAUGACAGAAGUAAUACUUUUGUUCUUGUUUCACUUUCAUUCAUCUUAUUUGAUCAGG
This 562-nucleotide long non-coding RNA is filed under the name Rhinopithecus bieti (black snub-nosed monkey). Its description in RNAcentral is "lncRNA (ENSRBIG00000046035.1)". Lineage: Eukaryota; Metazoa; Chordata; Mammalia; Primates; Cercopithecidae. The record is from RNAcentral.